RNAcentral lists this long non-coding RNA (1534 nucleotides) under Capra hircus (goat). RNAcentral describes it as "lncRNA (ENSCHIG00000001453.1)". Lineage: Eukaryota; Metazoa; Chordata; Mammalia; Artiodactyla; Bovidae. The record is from RNAcentral.
UGGUUUUUUUUUUUUUUAAAUAAUUUUAUUUGUUUGUUUUUGGCUGUGCUGGGUCUUUGUUGCUACAUGGGCUUUCUCUAGUUGCCGCGAACAGGGUCUGUUCUCUAGUUGCGGUGAGCGGGCUUCUCACUGCAGUGGCUCCCCUUGUUGCAGAACACAGGCUCUAGGGCACAGGAGGGCUUCAGCGGUUUGCUCUGCGGCAUGUGGGAUCUUCCCAGACCAGGGAUCGAACCUGAGUCUCCUGCACUGGCAGGUGGAUUCUUUACCUCUGAGCCUCUAGGGAAGCCUCUCAAAUGAGGGGAGUGAUACCUUUAGGGGUGCUAUUUCCCUCUGUGCUCAGUCAUUGUAGAGGCUAGCCCUACUCCCCACCCACCACUUUCAUCUUUUCAGUUAGAUGUGUUUUCUUUUAUGAAAUGGUAGGAAGUUGGAGUGGAGGUCAGAGGGUCUUCCUUAGAGCAUUGCAGUAGCCUGGAGGGUGUCUUGCCCAUACAAAAAGGCUCAAAGGAUGUUGCUUAACAAAACAGCCUUUCAAAGAAUAUCCAGAGCCAGAGCAAGGUCCAGACUCCCUGGGGCUGUUUUGGCAUUUCAGCUGCCAUGUCAGAAGAGUGCCCUUGUGGUGCAUAGGGGUCAGUUUUCCUGAAAAACCUGUUCUGGGGACAGAGUCCACCCCAGGGGAGUAGGGAGCUAGGCAGCCAUCCCAGAGUGAGACCCCAUUAAUCUUUGCUCAGCUGAUUGGAAGGGAGCUGAAUAAUCAUUUAUGUGCUCAUUGCGACAGGCACCUGGGCUCCAGGUUGAGACAAGUGGCCUCAGGUAGCCUCGAUAUUAAUGCGGCUCAUUAUGUAGAUUGCUUCACUGGGAGAUGGGAGAUACGCUGCGGCCUUGGGAGUCCCUGCGGGGAAGGCAGGCUUUGUGGGACCCAGCCCUUGGCGCGCUCAUCGAUGCUCUGUCUGGGAAAACCGGGGUGUCCGCGCCAGUUCCUGGAGUGGCUGAUCCUCAUAGCUGCUUUCCCUGUGACAGUCUGCCUCUCCAGGACGAUCCUGGUGUGGCCGCUCACAGAGAGACGGGCCCUCUGGGAAGGAGAAGCUCCGGAGCCAGGGCCCGCAGCUGCAAUCUUGCCUCAUCGCAGUUGCCAGCAAUAGGGGGGCGGGCUUCACCCUGCCUGCUAGUCUCCCAAGUUCCUCUUUUGGGCAUGUGCCUGCCCCUCCGUGUUCCCGUGGCUGCGUGGAAGUGGACCGAGGCCCAGAGGGUGACUAAGAGGGGAAGCCCCUGCGCCGAGGCUCCCAGCGGCUCCUGGAUUGCGUAAGGGCUAUUUUUGAGGCAAUUGCAGACCAUCUGAUGAAUCAUAGCAAACACACAUGGCCCUGGUGGUGGGGACAAUCCUUCCUCAUGAAGCUGUGGAAAGCGGAGCUUCUCAAAAUGAAUCAGCAGCAGCUGAACCCCACGUCCGUGGGAGGAGGGUAAGGCUGCGAAUUACACGUUUCUGAAGUAUAGGGGUGCGGCCUCUGGGGGCCUGGGAGUGGGAGCUGCAGGAACC